This 155-nucleotide ribosomal RNA is filed under the name Tetragnatha sp. 'eury-like'. RNAcentral describes it as "partial 12S ribosomal RNA". The record is from RNAcentral. Lineage: Eukaryota; Metazoa; Arthropoda; Arachnida; Araneae; Tetragnathidae.
CUUUUAAUUACAUUUUAUAUACCGCCGUCUUGAAUAGAUCAUAAAAUUUUGUUCAAAAUAAAAUUCUAAAAAUUUAGGUAAAGGUGUAAACUAUUCAAAAGAUAAAAUGUAUUACAUUAAAUNAAAAUUUAAGGAUCAAAUUAGAAUAUAAAUUU